AGACCGGCGCACGGGUGCGUAACGCGUAUGCAAUCUACCUUUCACAGAGGGAUAGCCCAGAGAAAUUUGGAUUAAUACCUCAUAGUAUAAUAGCUCGGCAUCGAGCAAUUAUUAAAGUCACAACGGUGAAAGAUGAGCAUGCGUCCCAUUAGCUAGUUGGUAAGGUAACGGCUUACCAAGGCUACGAUGGGUAGGGGUCCUGAGAGGGAGAUCCCCCACACUGGUACUGAGACACGGACCAGACUCCUACGGGAGGCAGCAGUGAGGAAUAUUGGACAAUGGGCGCAAGCCUGAUCCAGCCAUGCCGCGUGCAGGAUGACGGUCCUAUGGAUUGUAAACUGCUUUUGUACGGGAAGAAACACUACUUCGUGAAGUAACUUGACGGUACCGUAAGAAUAAGGAUCGGCUAACUCCGUGCCAGCAGCCGCGGUAAUACGGAGGAUCCAAGCGUUAUCCGGAAUCAUUGGGUUUAAAGGGUCCGUAGGCGGUUUGGUAAGUCAGUGGUGAAAGCCCAUCGCUCAACGGUGGAACGGCCAUUGAUACUGCCAGACUUGAAUUAUUAGGAAGUAACUAGAA
RNAcentral lists this ribosomal RNA (576 nucleotides) under uncultured Bacteroidota bacterium. Its description in RNAcentral is "bacterial SSU rRNA". It matches the Rfam family "Bacterial small subunit ribosomal RNA", at positions 92 to 666 of the family's 1533-position model. The record is from RNAcentral. Lineage: Bacteria; Pseudomonadati; Bacteroidota.